This 423-nucleotide ribosomal RNA is filed under the name Streptomyces rubrogriseus. RNAcentral's name for it is "bacterial SSU rRNA". It matches the Rfam family "Bacterial small subunit ribosomal RNA", at positions 1 to 434 of the family's 1533-position model. Lineage: Bacteria; Bacillati; Actinomycetota; Actinomycetes; Kitasatosporales; Streptomycetaceae. The record is from RNAcentral.
UGAGUUUGNUCAUGGCUCAGGACGAACGCUGGCGGCGUGCUUAACACAUGCAAGUCGAACGAUGAACCACUUCGGUGGGGAUUAGUGGCGAACGGGUGAGUAACACGUGGGCAAUCUGCCCUGCACUCUGGGACAAGCCCUGGAAACGGGGUCUAAUACCGGAUACUGACCCUCGCAGGCAUCUGCGAGGUUCGAAAGCUCCGGCGGUGCAGGAUGAGCCCGCGGCCUAUCAGCUUGUUGGUGAGGUAAUGGCUCACCAAGGCGACGACGGGUAGCCGGCCUGAGAGGGCGACCGGCCACACUGGGACUGAGACACGGCCCAGACUCCUACGGGAGGCAGCAGUGGGGAAUAUUGCACAAUGGGCGAAAGCCUGAUGCAGCGACGCCGCGUGAGGGAUGACGGCCUUCGGGUUGUAAACCUCU